This is a long non-coding RNA of Sphaeramia orbicularis (orbiculate cardinalfish), 354 nucleotides long. RefSeq lists it as uncharacterized. Lineage: Eukaryota; Metazoa; Chordata; Actinopteri; Kurtiformes; Apogonidae. The transcript is spliced from 3 exons. The record is from RefSeq and is a predicted model, not a curated record.
UUGCACUAAAACACAGACAUAAAUUGUCAGUUGUCAUCAUUUCUAGGUUCUUCUGUUCUUAUUUGACUGGUUUAGUCCACAUCAGAUCAGACUGAAUGUGGAACCUGAAUUAAAAUGAGUUUAGAGCCCUGCCUUUGACUGCCUGAGGACAGUUAGGAAAUGUCACCAACAGGACGUCUCCAAAUGCAUGUUUCUUUUCAGAAUAUAAGCUCAGAAAAGGGGUUAGGACAAACUUUGUCCGGUCACAUGAUCAAAGUUCUCCCUGUGUGGUGUCAGACGUCAGAUUUCACCACCACACAAAAGCUUUGUGGGUGAAUUUUGUAACGUGGCACAAACUGUCAUCUGAACAAUAUU